Molecule: ribosomal RNA, 253 nt
Filed under: uncultured bacterium
Lineage: Bacteria
Description: partial 16S ribosomal RNA
Rfam family: Bacterial small subunit ribosomal RNA
Source: RNAcentral
UACGUAGGGACCAAGCGUUGUUCGGAUUUACUGGGCGUAAAGGGCGCGUAGGCGGCAAUUCAAGUCAGCUGUGAAAUCUCCGGGCUUAACUCGGAACGGUCAGCUGAUACUGCUUUGCUAGAGUGCGGAAGGGGCAAUCGGAAUUCUCGGUGUAGCGGUGAAAUGCGUAGAUAUCGAGAGGAACACCUGAGGUGAAGACGGGUUGCUGGGCCGACACUGACGCUGAGGCGCGAAAGCGUGGGUAGCAAACAGG